GAGAAAAUCUCACCCAAAACCACGCAUCUUCCCUAAAAUUUUCAAAAAUAUUUUCUCUCUCCUCUCACCAUACCUAACUACCUUCUCUUCUACGUCCUCUCAUCGGCCCCGGCGAACCACAACAAAACCACUCUGUCCUCUCACCGUUCUGGCGCACAAUCACCGGCUUCUCUGUUCCUUGAGCCCUUUAUCUUCUCUGCUCGUUGAUUAAUUUAGUAAAUUAGGUUUCGUGAUUUUGAAAUUGGGGGUUUGAUCUAAUACACACGGUAGCACACUACCACGCCGCACCAGCGACGGCGGCAAAACUACUUGGUCGACUUGGCCGCCGGAAACGUUGGUCGACGGAGCAAGGUUUGUUAUUUUAUUUUAGUUAUUCUUGUUCAUUGACUCUAUUUUGUGCCGAUUCUUCAAAUUUUUGCUAUUAAUUUCCUGAUUUUGACUUUAUAGUUCAAAUCCGAGCUAAUUUGAUUAUUUUCUUUGAAUUUUUGCCUUGAUUUUCGAUUUAUGGCUUCUCUGUAGUUUAUUUAUUUUAACCUAAUUUUAUCUCCAAAUUCUUGCCGGACUCCGAUUUUGGUUGGCAAUUACUGGUUUCAUAACUGUUUAAUUCGUGAUUUCGGUGUUUCACGAAAAUGUAGUUAUUGUAACCUAAUUUAUCUAAUAAAUGGUAUGUUUUCCCCUUACUUUCGAGUCUCAAUUCAAUUUCUUAUUCUAUUUUCCCUGAGUAUUUAUAGUUAACAAACAAACUAUAAAUGUAUAACAACUCCCUUUGUCUGAAAACAAUAGUCACAUUUACUAUUGGGCUCGAUCUGUCUACAAAAACACCUGUGUCAUUUCCUAACUAUAAAUUUAUUAUAACUAGAUAUGUGACAACUAAUUCCAGACAGUGGUAGUACUUUAUAGAAAAACUCGAGGAACCUAUGAAAAAACAAAAAAGGAAAGGAUGUUAUAUGAACCUGUCAUUAGAGCAACUAUUUUAAAAGUUCACUGAAACUUUACAAACUUCUGUAUAUUUACAUGAACAUAAAGUCCCCAACGAGUAAUAUUUAGUAUGGUUGCAAAAUUGUCAUCCUUGAUGAUAUUGUCAGCAUUUACUUUUGUGACCUGUAAGAAUAUGUAAUGAAAAGCAUACUACACAAAAGGAAGAUGAUAAAUCAAUCUAAUUACGUUUUCUUAUACAAAUACGGAGAGAAAAGAGUGUGAAAAAAUUAAUAAAACCUAAGUUCCUGCAAUUCCCAUGACAAGUCCAAUGUCUGCUUCAUGCAACGCCAGAGCAUUAUUAGUCCCAUCCUCGGUUACUGCCACCACUUCUCUGUUAUGCCUCAAUGGGGUCACUAGUGUAUGUCCAAUGGCAUUGAACGAGCAAUCACCUGCAAGUUCAUAAUGUACAUUCUGUAAUUUUCUCUUAUAGUCUUAGACUCUUAGUUAUUGUUUCAUUAUCUUGUUUGUCUCCCGUGUGAGUUUAAAAUCCAGGGGUGCAGAGUGUUUAUGAGUUUAAAAUCCCAGGGGUGUUUCAGUGGCUAUGAGUUUAAAAUCCCAAGAGUGUUUCAGUGCCUAUGUUAAUAGUUAUUGUUUCAUUAAAAUCCCAGGGGUGCAGAGUGGCUUUGAGUUUAAAAUCUAAGUACAUAGUGAACCCGGAGAAGGCCUAGAUUACAGGUUAGGAAAGCCAAUCAGUUUUAUUCAGGGGAGGGCAAAAGGGACGAGGGUUUGAUGAUUGAUGUGCAAUAUACCUGUAAAUUGGGGAUUAUAUCUUGCAUCUCCUUGGGGCACAUAUUGCGAAAAUAUGGGCCUUCAAUAGCUAUUCUGUCACUAGUUAAGAUCCCACAUUUUCUUGCGAUGGCUUAACCGAUGAUUCAAUAAUUCACAAAAAUAACAAAAAUUCCAUCAGUACUCAAGCAAAUCAAUGCGAAAAUUCAAAGGAACAAAAAAACCUAAAUUAAUGUUGAGAAUUGGCAAAGCGAUCGAACAAAGAAACAUUAUUAAAUCGUGAGAUGAUUCACUUGAACCAUCACAACCACGUCUACCUCUAGGUACCUUGAAUCGUAAAUUCUGCAUUAUACUCCAGCCGCCAUUGAUGAGUUCUCGAGAUUUGAUUUCGAGGAGAAAGAAAGCUCAAAAUUUUGGGAUAAGGGUGUUUGGAGUAAGAUGAUUCUUCCGUAUAGCAAAAGUGGUGCUUUCUGGUUUUAUUUUUUUCGGCUAUGUUGUUUCAUUUAGAUUCCCCGUUUCUAUUGUCGUGGGGUACUGAGUGGAGGGCGGGAAUUUUUAGGGAAUGUAUAUGUAACGGUUGGUAGGUUCACCGCUCUAUAUUCUUGUUGUAUUUGUUAGUUUAAUCAGUUUUGUAAAUUAUGGUAAAUACCAACAACGCCUAUCUAUAUAACGGUUGUGAAAGAAAACCGUUCUAUAUAAUCCUAUAAAGCGCCUAACAUAUUUAACUGUUCUGUAUAUAGCGUCAUAUUUUCCAGUUUUUGUUGUAGUGAUAUUAAUAUCACAUGGUAUGUGCUAUUCCAUUUUUUUCACUUUCAAGCUAUUUUCAAAUUCGUGUUUAUAGCACAGGGCAGCUUAUUGAGAAUUUGAAAUAUUCACUAGAAUGAUUUGGUUUAUCUUCUAAUAGUGUCAUGGACUAUGGUUAGUGUUGUUGUGUAAAGUAUAAAUAACUCUAGGCCUAUCACGUGUAUUUUGUUUCUAUUACAAACUAUUGUGAAGGUUGUUCCUGGAGGCUCACUCGUGUUCUUCCCAAGCUAUAAGCUAAUGGACAAGCUCUGUAAAAGGUGGAGUGAAAUAGGCCAAUGGUCUCGGAUGAAUGUGAAAAAAACAGUCUUUGUUGAGCCCAGAGGAGGAAGUCGGGAAGACUUCAAGGCUGUUUUGAAAGGUCAUUACAGUGCGUUUAUCAAGGCACAAAGCCAGCUCUUGGGAAAAGAAGAAAGGCUAAGAAAGUAAACUCCAAUUGUUCUACAACUUUUACUGAAGCUAACUCAGUCGAGGACUGUAAGGGGGGAGCUGCAUUUCUUGCUAUUUGCCGUGGAAAGGUGUGCAACUAAUGUUAUAGUUAUGUAUCAUUGUUCAAUCCGUAGUCGGACAUAUCUGACAUGUGAGAGUGACUUUUAUUUCCUUUUCGCCCUAACAGAAUCUCGAGUAUAGUUUGCUUAUUGAUCACUAUUCUGCCUAGGUAUUUAAGCAAUGUUCUUUUUAGAACCGUAUCUUCCUAUCUCUAGCUUCCCCUCUUCUCUCUUGGGUUUUCGAUGUCGUCGUUUAUGGGGUUUCCUCUAUCAUUCGAUCGGUGAUUACGGUGAAUGAUAACUCUCUGUCACUUUCUCUCUCAGGACAGCACGAUCAGUUGAUGUGUACUAUAAACAAAUAAUGGCAUUGUCAAUUAAGUAUUUUCCUCAAGUUCCUUCCAUUUAUUCUCAAGCGAUGAUUGACGAGACACGGGAUACUUAGGUUACAUAUUUUUUCAAGCAAAAACAAGUUAUCAAUGAUCAGAUUGAUGAAGAUGAAGAAAAUGAUAUUUUGGACGUUGAUCAUGAAUGAUCUUUGUAGCUAGUGCAUAUUGACACUUUCUAACUAAUGUUUUGCGAAUCUCAUAGCAAGUUAAUACAUUUGAAGUAUUCUUUUGGAUUUAAGCCUGUGAUUGGAGUGUGGAGAAUGUUAUAUAUUACAGAAGUUUUAUUUAAUUUAUUGUUUUGGAGAACAAGAAGGUACAUUGGUCAGUUUGGAGUAUUUUUAUGCAUAUAUAUAAUAUAGAGUUAAUGGAUUUUUACCAUUAAA
Molecule: long non-coding RNA, 3762 nt
Organism: Spinacia oleracea (spinach)
Lineage: Eukaryota; Viridiplantae; Streptophyta; Magnoliopsida; Caryophyllales; Amaranthaceae
Exons: 4
Source: RefSeq, a predicted model, not a curated record